This 392-nucleotide ribosomal RNA is filed under the name uncultured bacterium. RNAcentral's name for it is "partial 16S ribosomal RNA". It matches the Rfam family "Bacterial small subunit ribosomal RNA", at positions 523 to 918 of the family's 1533-position model. The record is from RNAcentral.
AUACGUAGGUGACAAGCGUUAUCCGGAUUUACUGGGCGUAAAGGGUGAGUAGGCGGUUAUGUAUGUCAGGUGUAAAAGGCGUAGGCUUCACUUACGUUAGAACUUGAAACUGCAUAACUUGAGUGCAGGAGAGGUAAGUGGAAUUCCUAGGGCAGCGGUGAAAUGCGUAGAUAUUAGGAGGAACACCAGUGGCGAAGGCGACUUUCUGGACUGUAACUGACGCUGAGUCACGAAAGCGUGGGUAGCAAACAGGAUUAGAUACCCUGGUAGUCCACGCUGUAAACGAUGAGUGCUAGGUGUUGGGUAGCGAUAUUCAGUGCCGAAGUAAACACAAUAAGCACUCCGCCUGGGGAGUACGGUCGCAAGACCGAAACUCAAAUGAAUUGACGGGG